This 340-nucleotide long non-coding RNA is filed under the name Rattus norvegicus (Norway rat). Its description in RNAcentral is "long non-coding RNA NONRATT010386". Lineage: Eukaryota; Metazoa; Chordata; Mammalia; Rodentia; Muridae. The record is from RNAcentral.
CUUCCUGAAACCUGCUCUGUUCUCGUGCUCCUCCUAAUGCUCUGGAGGAGCAAUGGAGACUCAGUGACUCAGACAGAAGGCCUGGUCAGUCUCACAGAGGGGUCACCUGUGGUGCUGAACUGCACCUAUCAGACUACUUACUCAGCUUCUACCCUGUUCUGGUAUGUGCAAUAUCUCAGUGAAGCCCCUCGGCUACUCCUGAGGAGCUCCACAGACAGCAAGAGGACCGAGCACGAAGGGUUCCACGCCACUCUCCAUAAGAGCAGCCGCUCCUUCCGUCUGCAGAAGCCCUCAGCACAGCUGUCAGACUCUGCCCUGUACUACUGUGCUGUGGAGACAC